GUUCUCUGUUGUCAGGGGAUUGGCUACCAAUCUACCCCAUAAAAAGAGCUCUUUCUGCCUGCUCUAGGGAGCUUUUUGUUUCAAGUGGGUCUUGAUCAUUGAAGACUAGUUCUGGAUUGUGUAGUUCUCAGCCAUGAGUCACUUCCACUACUGCCCAAAUGAGGUACAGUUUCCCGAAGCUGGAGAUCUUACCCCUUCGAGUCUUUGGGCGCAAGCUGCCCGAAUUCUCUUGGAAUGUGAGGGUCAAGAAACCCACAACAGCCUUCCAGAGGGGAUGCCGGAGGACUUGGACUCGAUGGAUCUCUCAAUCUUGCCAGUUCUUGAUAUCUCUGAAGUGCAACAUCUUCUCGGUGAGGAGGAAGAGGAUGUUGCCAGCUUGACCAGCCCACAGAAUACAGUUCCUCUACCAUCCGUGCAACCCAGGCCUGUUUCGCUCUUUGCCUCUAGCAGUGAAAGCCAGCAUGGCAGUGAUGGAGGCCUGAUGGCACACUAUUUGUUGGCUGAUCUGAGUCAGGCUGCCAUCCUUGGACACACAAGUGGCCCAGCUCUGAUCCCAGGCCCACAUGAAUCUGCAGCUGAGGAGUCUGAGCUCUUGUCUGCUGAAGUGGGACACAUGCUUCAUGAGGAGGGAGAGAGACAUUCUGCUUGACUAGUCCACAGGAUAUGGUCCCUGUACCCUACACAACUCAAAACUGCUUCAUUCUCUGCCUCCAGCAUUGAGCCAUCAGGGCCAUAAUGAAGGCUCAGUGCUGUGGUAUCUUUUGGCUAGGCCCUAUAAUGCUACUGUCCUUGGACACCAAAGUGGCCACAUUCUGCUCCCAAAUAUAUAUACUUCUGCCCCUGAGUAGGUGACUCUCCCACAGCUUGCAGCCAAAGGAAUGGAAAAUCAGGUCAGAUGUGUGGCAACACUUGAGGCUCCUUCAGAUAUUAGCCCAAAGGCUCGCCAUACCAUAAGUGGCGGGGUGAAGGGGGUGGAAGUCCCCACCACCACCACCACAUCAGUCAUCCCCAUGCCCCAUUGCUCACAGGGAUCAAUCCAUCCUUGCAAUCACAGAUCUGUCCAUCAUGGAGAGGGCUGUGUCCUCUUCAGAGGAGUUACAUCAGACCUGUGAGUGAUGGGGCAGAACUUCCUCCCACUUUGCCCUGCCAUUUACUGGCAUGGUGAGCCUUCAGACUAGGGUCUGACGGACCUAUUGUCAUGCACAGGGCAGAAAAUUUUCUUGUGGCUGUGGGCAACAGAGGCUGCAGAAAGGUCAGGCUUGCCAGGGGAGGUGUCUGCAGGAGGCUGACAUCCAUCAUUCACUGCCAUUUCUUCUCAAACAAGCACUCGGUGCUUAUCUGAAGAACCCUAACCUCGGCCUUAUUUACAACUGGAGACUGAUGCAGGAAGCCAUAUGGAGAUUACCUAGCUAUGAUUGGGAAGAAAACUUCUGCCCUAAGUCAAAUUCUUGAUGUGUGCUGGUCACUUGAAAGCCUUCUAAAUAUCUCCAACUCAUGCAGGAACAGGAAGAUGCUGUGCUGGUCACUUUGCCUCUGAACUGCUGAAGUCUCUGGGAAACAGCAGGGCCCAAGAAUAGUAUGAGAAGAGAUUUAAUACCAGAAUGCAACCUCCCUACAUCCAUGCUUUAGGGACCAUCUUUGCAAAUAUCUGAAGGGAGCAAUUGAAGAAGUGGGUGAUAUAACAGUCUUGGAAGGAAUACUUGAAAAACUAGUGAUCAUGCAGUUUCCUCUUCCUUUGAAACAAUAGACCAGGCCUGCUCAACCUUGCCCCCCCCCCAGCUGUUUUUGGACUACAGUUCCCAUAAUCCCCAGCCGCAGUGGCCAAUAGCCAGGGAUUAUGGGAGUUGUAGGCCAACAUCUGCAGGAGGGCCAAAGUUGAGCAGCCCUGCAAUAGACCAAUCCAAGUAUUCCCAAGCAACUGAGAAGAAAAGAACUGAUAUCUUAUCUGUAGGACAAUAUUGGACCUUAAUCAUCUGGACUCCGACCUCAUGGGCAACUGGCAGGCAAAACAGCACAUAUGGCUGUCACACUCUGCAGUGGCACUCCAGUACUUCUAAUGUCUUCCCACCACUAUGUAUUCAAGGAAGGCUUGGAGUGUUGGAGGCUUGAUCAGAUCAUGCAGACUUCAAGAGAGGCUUUCACUCAUCAGCCUGAACAGAGACUGGUUAGCUGUGGAAUUCAGGGUCCUCGCUACUACCCCAGAGACACUAGAAAUCAAUCCAUGUAGCACACAGAAGGAAAGGCAAUUCCUUUUGGUGACUGGGAACCAUUCUUGGAGGACUGAGAGCUGGAAGGACAUGACAUGAUAGGACCUUUUAUUCGUGAGACUCAGCAAUGUGGUGCUAACAACAGAACUGUCUACGCUGUUGCGUCUUUAAACUUCUUUGUAUGAAACGGAAGCGGGCUUCUGUAUUUAAAAUGUACACCAGUUCAACUUUUACAGGUUUUCCCCCACAAGGGUGGAACAUGAAAAUGCAGUGGUGGCAUAAUAUCUGCUUUUAAUGGAUCUGUUCAACUUAAAUAAAGAUUAUUGAAAGAGCAA
Hemicordylus capensis (graceful crag lizard) is the source of this 2542-nucleotide long non-coding RNA. RefSeq lists it as uncharacterized. The record is from RefSeq and is a predicted model, not a curated record. The transcript has 2 exons. NCBI's taxonomy places the organism in Eukaryota, Metazoa, Chordata, Lepidosauria, Squamata, Cordylidae.